Molecule: long non-coding RNA, 237 nt
Filed under: Elaeis guineensis (African oil palm)
Lineage: Eukaryota; Viridiplantae; Streptophyta; Magnoliopsida; Arecales; Arecaceae
Description: long non-coding RNA (EGUI_LNC038087)
Source: RNAcentral
AUGUAUGUCCUAGAAGUCAAUAUGGUUGACACAUUGUAAUAAAUUUAGGACACAAUUUUACACUUAAUAUAUUGAUAUGAUCAAUAAAAUGGUAAGUUCUUUUUCAUUCAAAUGUGAUGUGUCCUUGAAUCAUCCAUGGAAUUAGUUUCAAUACAUAUUCUCAAGGUGUUGAGAAUUAGAGACAUGUAUUUAAUUCCUAAAUACUUUCGAUUAUAGAAUCAUCAUGAGGACGGUGAU